Molecule: long non-coding RNA, 1875 nt
Organism: Chelonia mydas (Green sea turtle)
Lineage: Eukaryota; Metazoa; Chordata; Testudines; Cheloniidae
Exons: 2
Source: RefSeq, a predicted model, not a curated record
GAGAACAUGAAACAAUGGGUGUUACACUGUAACGAGAAUGAUCAGGGCAAAAUCUUGAGUUAAUCUAAGGAAUCCACACAAGAUGAGAAUGGAGCAGUUCCAGCCAUGUGUCUGGCUUAAGAGCUAUCUCAUAUUUGCAUGACAGGAUAUCUAAGGGCAGGAUAACACAACACACUGCUGGGUACUAGUUAUGCUUCCUCUAAGAAGAAGUACAGUGAAGUAUACCUGGCUAAUGGUGCUGGUGCCUGAAGUUUGUAUAUUAUCCAGCUGGGAUCCUGAACAUGCCUCCCAAAUGACAGACUCCUUCUCCACCCCCUAAAGGAUGUGAUGUAUCUUCUGGCCUAUUGGUUGGUGAACUUCCUAGUUCUCUUUUCACAUGAGAAAGGUAUAUUGUCUGCCUCUCAGGAAGGGGGAAGUGUCUCCCUGUGCCUUUUUUCUCCAUCUGCUUUGCCAGUGAACAUGGGAACAGUUUACACAUACAAAAAAGCCAGAAUUAAUGGGAAACAAACCAAAAGGCUAAGCCAUUAGAAUACUUUAGGUGCACUGGUUCAGGUUAAAGAAAAGACAAUGUAUUCUUGAGGUUAGAGGAAAAGGCUGGAAAUGAAGAGAUAUGAAUCUUUGCCCUUAUGCCAUGCUAAUUGCCAUGAUAUCCAAGUACUUUAUACUUUUUUAAAAACUAAACUCUAUAUAUUUAAGUGAUUUCAUUCCCCCUGCACAGUUUUUUUAUAAGAGGAAAUGUAAGUCAAAUCAAUGGGUUCUGCAUUUUGUUCUGAAGCCAGAGGGACUUUUGGUCAUUCUAAUGUGUGCUAGGAGUGGGUUUCGCAGUCAUGGGUAACUUGUCUCAGCCUUGCAUUUUCCACUAUUCUACUAUGGCUGCUGUGAGCUGUCACUGUUGCACAGAGGGAGCUGAUUCCUCAAUUAUUUGGGUAAAUAAAUAAAUAAAAACUUUUAGGGACCAACUCACAUGUCCACUAUAUCAUCUUUGAACCACACCAGCAGUGCUAAUGAGCCAUAACUGUCUGGAUAAAGUCCCCAGAGGAAUACACCUAUCUCAAGAGAGUUCAAAUAGAAUAAAGCUCUCACCUUUUCAUCCCAUACUACAGAGUGCCACAAUGCUCUGGAUAUUCUUGGCUGUGGAAUGGCCUCCUUGAGGAGCCAUUCUUGCUGAGUAUUGUUCUAAAUUGGUCCCUGAGACUGCUCUAAAUUAAUCCAGGGCCAAACUGGGCCCCAUUUGGCUCAAAAAUCCAAGAAGAAUGAAGGAGGCUUUAAGCCACAUUUUCCUAUGACAGCUUCUGUACCAAAUGGAAAUGAGGCAAUUUUUUCCUCUCAUUCACACCAGUAAAUCCACAGUAACUCCACUGAUGUCAAUGGAGUUACAACAGAUUCACCACAUUUGUCAAGAAUAAUAUUGUUGAAUAACCUGAAAUGCCAGAGUGUGAUGUUUUUUGGUGAGUAAAUACAUUGCUAUCCAUAUAAUAGUUUAUAGUAUAGAUGUUUUUUUGGUGAGUAAAUGCAUUGCUAUCCAUAUAGUAAUACAUUGCUAUUCAUAUAGUAGCAUGCUAUAUUAAUGUAUCAAUGGAAAACUUUAUUUAAAGUUUUUUAGUGAAAGCAUUUCAGAGUUCUUUGCCAUAAAAGUAGAUCAAAGAACAUGAAGGCACAAUCAUUAAAUCCUUGAAAAGCUAAAUUAAAUAGAUAUUUUACAUGAGUUUUAAAUACACUAAGAGAUUCUCAAGGCUAAACAAGAUAGAACUUCAAUCAUAACUUUGGUGCUUUACACGGCAGCUCUCCAAUCAGUAAUAGCAAGUCAAGAUAUAGGGGACAGCAAGUUAUGAUAAUAUUCCUUCAAGACAAGGAGUCUCAAAUUCUGCUUUACUU